RNAcentral lists this ribosomal RNA (1765 nucleotides) under Niphargus decui. RNAcentral's name for it is "eukaryotic LSU rRNA". The stretch from base 1301 to 1765 matches the Rfam family "Eukaryotic large subunit ribosomal RNA", at positions 1 to 415 of the family's 3401-position model. The record is from RNAcentral. Lineage: Eukaryota; Metazoa; Arthropoda; Malacostraca; Amphipoda; Niphargidae.
GGAAGUAAAAGUCGUAACAAGGUUUCCGUAGGUGAACCUGCGGAAGGAUCAUUACCGAUUGCAAAACCACGCAAAAGUUUCUCUGACGCGGAAGCAGUGUUCGUUCGAUUUAUCCAGUGAAGAACACUACUUCCCAAGGCAAAAUGGCAAAAAAAGUUUCUCUGACAGACAGACAGACGCGCGGAGGCAGUGUUCGUUCGAUUUAUCCAGUGAAGAACACUGCCCAAGAAAGGGAACCAUCUUGGUCGUGGCCUAUGAUGAGAGAACAGAGAGAGAUCGAGUCUAACUCACUCUCUCUCUCUCUCUCCUCGUCACGGACGAUGCAAAACAAACACCCACUGGCCUUAUAUUGCAUUUAUCUAACGCCAUGGCAUACACGCCUGGCACCUGGUACGGGACUCUCGUAGUCUCUUGAACCACCUUACAACUCUGAGCGGUGGAUCACUUGGCUUGUGGAUGCUAUGAAGACCAUAGCUAAGUGUGAGAAUGGCAGCGAGCCGUCGCUAUAUGCGCUGUCCUCUUCUUAUCACAUGUCGAAUGCACAUUGCGCCCCACCCAGUGGUCGGCUUACAUCCUGAAGACAAAAGCCUGGUGGCUGGAACAAAGGUAAUCGUGUGGCCCCCGAGCAACGGCGGGGGAGCCAGGAGCACAGGCGCGUGCGUUCCAGCCCCUCGUGAGUAAUCAAAGCUGAACCCCAUGGUGGGGCACUCCUAGUCGAGUGUGGUGGACGCAAGUCUUCUCCUCUCUUCCACCACCGCUCCGGCGGAUGUGUGUUGCUAGAGAUGGUGGAACGCUAAGUAAUUUUGGUCGACAUCAGUCGUGCCUGUAAAUACCUGCCUUAGCUCGUGCCUCUGUACUGUGUUCUCACGAUAGGCAAGUACAUUGAAGGCCAUAGCUGGCGAUCAUUCGUGCGGCCAGGGCACCUUCGGGUGCGCAGCGGUCCAAAAGGUUUUCUUACGAGAGUGCAGUGCACGUGGGACAGCAAAAGGGUGUGACAAAUGUGACGCAUGGACGGAUGCCCUCGGCUUUGUGGCAAAUCUCUGGUGAAGGUUCGCUUGUCUCGCACUCUUCGUAGUCGGGAAAGAUUCCUUAACAUCUCCACACUUAAAGGCACAACCACUCAAGGCGGUCGGCGGGAAAACAUACGCAGCCGUCUUGAUGUGUGUCGUGGAGAGAAAGCCAGAUUUUUGUUGCGUUAAUAAGGGCGCGCUUACACACAGCGCUAAAGGGAGAUAUGGAACCCGUCGCACAAACGCUUGUCCUGCUGCCAGCACAAACGGAUCUCGUGAGAUUUUUUCCACCACCUCGACUUAGGAGAGGCUACCCGCUGAACUUAAGCAUAUCAGUAAGCGGAGGAAAAGAAACCAAUCAGGGAUUCCCUUAGUAGGGGCGACCGAAAAGGGAUGAGCCCAGCGCAGAACCUCCCGGGCCACCCGGCCUGCGGCGGAAUGUUGCGUUAAGGGAAAGGUCGUAGUCAAACCCCACAGCCACGCGAGCUCUAAGUAAGUCACGAAUCGGCUAUCCCAACUAACGGCGGGAAAGUCUCCACGGAGGGUGUAAGACCCGUGUGGGCGUGUGUAAAUGCUGUGUGGGCUCGGCCUCUUUUCCCUGAGAGUCGCGUUGCUUGAGCAUGCAGCGCUAAGCAGGUCGUAAACUCGAUCUAAGGCUAAAUAUGUCCACAAGACCGAUAGUGAACAAGUACCGUGAGGGAAAGUUGAAAAGCACUCUGAAGAGAGAGUCAAAAGACCGUGAAACCGCUCAGAGU